CAACCACAUCGCAUUGAAACACUGGUUCUCAUACAAUCACUGAAGUUAAGUAAUGUUGAGCCUGGUCAGUAUCUAGAUGGGUGGCUGCUUAGGAAUACUAAGUGCU
Acanthosepion pharaonis is the source of this 106-nucleotide non-coding RNA. NCBI's taxonomy places the organism in Eukaryota, Metazoa, Mollusca, Cephalopoda, Sepiida, Sepiidae. The record is from the annotation of a GenBank genome assembly.